This 989-nucleotide ribosomal RNA is filed under the name human gut metagenome. Its description in RNAcentral is "bacterial LSU rRNA". It matches the Rfam family "Bacterial large subunit ribosomal RNA", at positions 1938 to 2925 of the family's 2925-position model. The record is from RNAcentral.
AACUAUAACGGUCCUAAGGUAGCGAAAUUCCUUGUCGGGUAAGUUCCGACCCGCAUGAAAGGCGUAAUGAUUUGGGCACUGUCUCAACGAGGGGCCCGGUGAAAUUGAAAUACCUGUGAAGAUGCAGGUUACCCGCGACUGGACAGAAAGACCCCAUGGAGCUUCACUGCAGCUUGAGAUUGAAUCCCGGUGACAGAUGCACAGGAUAGGUGGGAGGCGCCGAAGCAUUGCCCUAGGGCGGUGCGGAGCCGAUGUUGGGAUACCACCCUUCUGUUGCUGAGAUUCUAACGCGAGGAGUAACGACCCUGCGGACCCUCUCAGGCAGGCGGUUUGACUGGGGCGGUCGCCUCCGAAAGAGUAACGGAGGCGCCCAAAGGUUCCCUCAGGCCGGACAGAAACCGGCCGAAGAGUGCAAAGGCAGAAGGGAGCUUGACUGCGAGACCAACAAGUCGAGCAGAGACGAAAGUCGGGCUUAGUGAUCCGGUGGUACUGGGUGGAAAGGCCAUCGCUCAACGGAUAAAAGCUACCCUGGGGAUAACAGGCUAAUCUCUCCCAAGAGUUCAUAUCGACGGGGAGGUUUGGCACCUCGAUGUCGGCUCAUCACAUCCUGGGGCUGGAGUAGGUCCCAAGGGUUGGGCUGUUCGCCCAUUAAAGUGGUACGCGAGCUGGGUUCAAAACGUCGUGAGACAGUUUGGUUCAUAUCCAUCGCGGGCGCAAGAAGUUUGAGAGGAGCUGCUCCUAGUACGAGAGGACCGGAGUGGACGCACCUCUGGUGUACCGGUUGUCACGCCAGUGGCAUCGCCGGGUAGCUAUGUGCGGAAGAGAUAACCGCUGAAAGCAUCUAAGCGGGAAACUUGCCUGAAGAUAAGUCUUCCUGGAGACUCGAUCUCCCUGAAGGGUCGUUCAAGACCAGGACGUUGAUAGGCUGGAUGUGCAAGCGUUGUGAGACGCUGAGCUGACCAGUACUAAUUGCCCGUGCAGCUUGAUCC